GGAAGAAAUGGGCUACAUUUUCUACUUUAGAACAUAACGAAAUGUCUAUUGAAACAAAGAUAUGAAGGAGGAUUUAGCAGUAAAUUAAGAAUAGAGAGCUUAAUUGAAAAUGGCAAUAGGGUGCGCACACACCGCCCGUCACCCUCCUCAACAAAGUAACCACCUAUACCUAAUAAAAGUACAUAGGAAAGAGGAGAUAAGUCGUAACAUGGUAAGUGUACUGGAAGGUGCACUUGGAAUAUCAAAAUGUAG
RNAcentral lists this ribosomal RNA (252 nucleotides) under Sminthopsis butleri (Carpentarian dunnart). RNAcentral describes it as "partial 12S ribosomal RNA". It matches the Rfam family "Microsporidia small subunit ribosomal RNA", at positions 1067 to 1311 of the family's 1311-position model. Lineage: Eukaryota; Metazoa; Chordata; Mammalia; Dasyuromorphia; Dasyuridae. The record is from RNAcentral.